Molecule: ribosomal RNA, 479 nt
Filed under: uncultured bacterium
Lineage: Bacteria
Description: bacterial SSU rRNA
Rfam family: Bacterial small subunit ribosomal RNA
Source: RNAcentral
AAUGAACGUUGGCGGCGUGGAUUAGGCAUGCAAGUCGAGCGAGAAGUUUAAGAAAGAUACUUCGGUUGAUUUCUUAAAUGGACAGCGGCGAAAGGGAGAGUAACGAGUAGAUACGUACCCAGGGGUUCGGAAUAGCUGCGGGAAACUGCAGGUAAUGCCGAAUAAUGUCUCCGGACCAAAGAUUUAUUGCCCUUGGAUCGGUCUGCUUACUAUUAGCUUGUUGGUGGGGUAAAGGCCUACCAAGGCAAAGAUGGUUAGCGGGUGUGAGAGCAUGGCCCGUCUCACUGGGACUGAGACACUGCCCAGACACCUACGGGUGGCUGCAGUCGAGAAUCUUCCGCAAUGGACGAAAGUCUGACGGAGCGACGCCGCGUGCGGGAUGAAGGCCUUCGGGUUGUAAACCGCUGUCAGAGGGGAGCAAAUUUUGAGCGAUCCUCAGAGGAAGCACAGGCUAAGUUCGUGCCAGCAGCCGCGUAAAC